GAUGAACGCUGGCGGCGUGCCUAAUACAUGCAAGUCGAGCGAACGGACGAGAAGCUUGCUUCUCUGAUGUUAGCGGCGGACGUGUGAGUAACACGUGGAUAACCUACCUAUAAGACUGUGAUAACUUCGGGAAACCGGAGCUAAUACCGGAUAAUAUUUUGAACCGCAUGGUUCAAAAGUAAAAGACGGUCUUGCUGUCACUUAUAGAUGGAUCCGCGCUGCAUUAGCUAGUUGGUAAGGUAACGGCUUACCAAGGCAACGAUGCAUAGCCGACCUGAGAGGGUGAUCGGCCACACUGGAACUGAGACACGGUCCAGACUCCUACGGGAGGCAGCAGUAGGGAAUCUUCCGCAAUGGGCGAAAGCCUGACGGAGCAACGCCGCGUGAGUGAUGAAGGUCUUCGGAUCGUAAAACUCUGUUAUUAGGGAAGAACAUAUGUGUAAGUAACUGUGCACAGCUUGACGGUACCUAAUCAGAAAGCCACGGCUAACUACGUG
Molecule: ribosomal RNA, 497 nt
Filed under: uncultured bacterium
Lineage: Bacteria
Description: partial 16S ribosomal RNA
Rfam family: Bacterial small subunit ribosomal RNA
Source: RNAcentral